GGGGCGUAGCUCAGUUGGAUAGAGCAACGGUUUUCUAAACCGUAGGUCACAGGUUCGAGCCCUGUCGCC
RNAcentral lists this transfer RNA (69 nucleotides) under marine eukaryotic metagenome. It matches the Rfam family "tRNA". From Rfam's summary of the family: Transfer RNA (tRNA) molecules are approximately 80 nucleotides in length. Their secondary structure includes four short double-helical elements and three loops (D, anti-codon, and T loops). The record is from RNAcentral.